GACGAACGCUGGCGGCGUGCUUAACACAUGCAAGUCGAACGGUAAGGCCCUUCGGGGUACACGAGUGGCGAACGGGUGAGUAACACGUAGGUGAUCUGCCCUGCACUUCGGGAUAAGCCUGGGAAACUGGGUCUAAUACCGGAUAGGACUCCGGACUGCAUGGUCUGGGGUGGAAAGCUUUUGCGGUGUGGGAUGGGCCCGCGGCCUAUCAGCUUGUUGGUGGGGUGAUGGCCUACCCAGGCGACGACGGGUAGCCGGCCUGAGAGGGUGACCGGCCACACUGGGACUGAGAUACGGCCCAGACUCCUACGGGAGGCAGCAGUGGGGAAUAUUGCACAAUGGGCGCAAGCCUGAUGCAGCGACGCCGCGUGAGGGAUGACGGCCUUCGGGUUGUAAACCUCUUUCAGCAUCGACGAAGCGAAAGUGACGGUAGGUGCAGAAGAAGGACCGGCCAACUACGUGCCAGCCGCCGCGGUAA
Molecule: ribosomal RNA, 478 nt
Filed under: uncultured bacterium
Lineage: Bacteria
Description: partial 16S ribosomal RNA
Rfam family: Bacterial small subunit ribosomal RNA
Source: RNAcentral